Molecule: ribosomal RNA, 253 nt
Filed under: uncultured bacterium
Lineage: Bacteria
Description: partial 16S ribosomal RNA
Rfam family: Bacterial small subunit ribosomal RNA
Source: RNAcentral
UACGUAGGGGGCAAGCGUUGUCCGGAUUUAUUGGGCGUAAAGAGCGUGUAGGCGGCCUGUCAAGUCUGAUGUGAAAUCUUGCGGCUUAACCGCAAGCCUGCAUUGGAAACUGACAGGCUAGAGUCUGGAUGAGGAAGGUGGAAUUCCUGGUGUAGCGGUGAAAUGCGCAGAUAUCAGGAGGAACACCGGUGGCGAAGGCGGCCUUCUGGGACAGUACUGACGCUGAGACGCGAAAGCGUGGGGAGCAAACAGG